This 801-nucleotide ribosomal RNA is filed under the name Salmonella enterica subsp. enterica serovar Kottbus. RNAcentral's name for it is "partial 23S ribosomal RNA". It matches the Rfam family "Bacterial large subunit ribosomal RNA", at positions 689 to 1405 of the family's 2925-position model. Lineage: Bacteria; Pseudomonadati; Pseudomonadota; Gammaproteobacteria; Enterobacterales; Enterobacteriaceae. The record is from RNAcentral.
UGGGCGUUAAGUUGCAGGGUAUAGACCCGAAACCCGGUGAUCUAGCCAUGGGCAGGUUGAAGGUUGGGUAACACUAACUGGAGGACCGAACCGACUAAUGUUGAAAAAUUAGCGGAUGACCUGUGGCUGGGGGUGAAAGGCCAAUCAAACCGGGAGAUAGCUGGUUCUCCCCGAAAGCUAUUUAGGUAGCGCCUCGUGAAUUCAUCUCCGGGGGUAGAGCACUGUUUCGGCUAGGGGGCCAUCCCGGCUUACCAACCCGAUGCAAACUGCGAAUACCGGAGAAUGUUAUCACGGGAGACACACGGCGGGUGCUAACGUCCGUCGUGAAGAGGGAAACAACCCAGACCGCCAGCUAAGGUCCCAAAGUCAUGGUUAAGUGGGAAACGAUGUGGGAAGGCCCAGACAGCCAGGAUGUUGGCUUAGAAGCAGCCAUCAUUUAAAGAAAGCGUAAUAGCUCACUGGUCGAGUCGGCCUGCGCGGAAGAUGUAACGGGGCUAAACCAUGCACCGAAGCUGCGGCAGCGAACGUAUCACUUAAAGCGAUUCAGCGGGUUACGAUUGACGGAGCGAAGCGACGUCAAAGCGUAUACAAAGUCGAGUCGGUUUAAGGAUACGUUCGUUGGGUAGGGGAGCGUUCUGUAAGCCUGUGAAGGUGGCCUGUGAGGGUUGCUGGAGGUAUCAGAAGUGCGAAUGCUGACAUAAGUAACGAUAAAGCGGGUGAAAAGCCCGCUCGCCGGAAGACCAAGGGUUCCUGUCCAACGUUAAUCGGGGCAGGGUGAGUCGACCCCUAAGGCGAGGCCGA